AACGAACGCUGGCGGCAUGCCUAACACAUGCAAGUCGAACGAGACCUUCGGGUCUAGUGGCGCACGGGUGCGUAACGCGUGGGAACCUGCCUUUAGGUUCGGAAUAACUCAGAGAAAUUUGAGCUAAUACCGGAUAAUGUCUUCGGACCAAAGAUUUAUCGCCUUUAGAUGGGCCCGCGUUGGAUUAGCUAGUUGGUGGGGUAAAGGCCUACCAAGGCGACGAUCCGAUAGCUGGUCUGAGAGGAUGAUCAGUCACACUGGAACUGAGACACGGUCCAGACUCCUACGGGAGGCAGCAGUGGGGAAUAUUGGACAAUGGGCGAAAGCCUGAUCCAGCCAUGCCGCGUGUGUGAAGAAGGUCUUCAGAUUGUAAAGCACUUUAAGUUGGGAGGAAGGGCAGUAAGUUAAUAACCUUGCUGUUUUGACGUUACCAACAGAAUAAGCACCGGCUAACUUCGUGCCAGCAGCCGCGGUAAUGUGACUACUG
RNAcentral lists this ribosomal RNA (487 nucleotides) under uncultured bacterium. Its description in RNAcentral is "bacterial SSU rRNA". It matches the Rfam family "Bacterial small subunit ribosomal RNA", at positions 29 to 534 of the family's 1533-position model. The record is from RNAcentral.